UAGAAAUCUGAAGAAACUUCAAAGAGAAACUGCUGAGCUUCAGUUCAUUUGCAAAUUUGACACCAUCAGGAUUAAAUAAAGACUGUGACUGGCUCGCCAACUACAAAGGCAUUUUCUCCUCCCUUGGUGUUCACACCUCAACUGCUAGAAGAGGGGCUCAUCCUCCCUAAUUGAACUAACGUCAUUAUCUCUAGCCUGAUUCUUGCUUGCAUAUUUAUACCUGCCUCUGGA
Long non-coding RNA from Dermochelys coriacea (leatherback sea turtle), 231 nucleotides. RefSeq lists it as uncharacterized. NCBI's taxonomy places the organism in Eukaryota, Metazoa, Chordata, Testudines, Dermochelyidae. The transcript is spliced from 3 exons. The record is from RefSeq and is a predicted model, not a curated record.